UAGAAAUUUUGUGAAAGAAGUAUUUGGGAAAAUAAAGAUGGACAAGAUAGGAAAGACUGCAAGAAAUAAUGUUAUCACCCAAUUAGGAAACCCGUGGAUGGAGAAGAAUUAGGGAAUGAUUUGAAGAGAGGCAGCUAUACAUCAGAAUGGGGGAGGUUGUUUCUGCAAGUCUACUCCUGUACAAUCAAAGGCGACCUGGAGAGCUCCAGGCUAUUGGAUUGACAGACUACAAAGAGUGACAAGAGGGGGAAGAUGUCCAGCGUUUGAUUGGAGAUUGUCAGCAAAGAAACUGUUAGAGAACCAGGUGGUUAUCACAGUGUGAGGAAAGACCAGAAGAAGAGUACCUGUUAUAAUUCCAGCAGACGCAGGGAAACCGACCGACUACCUCACAAAUGAAGGGGUUAGAAGAGAUGC
Long non-coding RNA from Ylistrum balloti, 414 nucleotides. RefSeq lists it as uncharacterized. The transcript is spliced from 3 exons. Lineage: Eukaryota; Metazoa; Mollusca; Bivalvia; Pectinida; Pectinidae. The record is from RefSeq and is a predicted model, not a curated record.